Molecule: transfer RNA, 83 nt
Filed under: Canis lupus familiaris (dog)
Lineage: Eukaryota; Metazoa; Chordata; Mammalia; Carnivora; Canidae
Also listed under: 1 other name
Rfam family: tRNA
About the family: Transfer RNA (tRNA) molecules are approximately 80 nucleotides in length. Their secondary structure includes four short double-helical elements and three loops (D, anti-codon, and T loops).
Source: Rfam by way of RNAcentral
GCCUAGGUGGCUCAAUGGUUGAGCAUCUGCCUUUGGCUCAGGUUGUGCUCCUGGGAUUUUGGGAUCAAGUCCCACAUCAGGCU